AGAGUUUGAUCCUGGCUCAGGAUGAACGCUGGCGGCGUGCCUAAUACAUGCAAGUCGAGCGAACGGACGAGAAGCUUGCUUCUCUGAUGUUAGCGGCGGACGGGUGAGUAACACGUGGAUAACCUACCUAUAAGACUGGGAUAACUUCGGGAAACCGGAGCUAAUACCGGAUAAUAUUUUGAACCGCAUGGUUCAAAAGUGAAAGACGGUCUUGCUGUCACUUAUAGAUAGAUCCGCGCUGCAUUAGCUAGUUGGUAAGGUAACGGCUUACCAAGGCAACGAUGCAUAGCCGACCUGAGAGGGUGAUCGGCCACACUGGAACUGAGACACGGUCCAGACUCCUACGGGAGGCAGCAGUAGGGAAUCUUCCGCAAUGGGCGAAAGCCUGACGGAGCAACGCCGCGUGAGUGAUGAAGGUCUUCGGAUCGUAAAACUCUGUUAUUAGGGAAGAACAUAUGUGUAAGUAACUGUGCACAUCUUGACGGUACCUAAUCAGAAAGCCACGGCUAACUACGUGCCAGCAGCCGCGGUAAUACGUAGGUGGCAAGCGUUAUCCGGAAUUAUUGGGCGUAAAGCGCGCGUAGGCGGUUUUUUAAGUCUGAUGUGAAAGCCCACGGCUCAACCGUGGAGGGUCAUUGGAAACUGGAAAACUUGAGUGCAGAAGAGGAAAGUGGAAUUCCAUGUGUAGCGGUGAAAUGCGCAGAGAUAUGGAGGAACACCAGUGGCGAAGGCGACUUUCUGGUCUGUAACUGACGCUGAUGUGCGAAAGCGUGGGGAUCAAACAGGAUUAGAUACCCUGGUAGUCCACGCCGUAAACGAUGAGUGCUAAGUGUUAGGGGGUUUCCGCCCCUUAGUGCUGCAGCUAACGCAUUAAGCACUCCGCCUGGGGAGUACGACCGCAAGGUUGAAACUCAAAGGAAUUGACGGGGACCCGCACAAGCGGUGGAGCAUGUGGUUUAAUUCGAAGCAACGCGAAGAACCUUACCAAAUCUUGACAUCCUUUGACAACUCUAGAGAUAGAGCCUUCCCCUUCGGGGGACAAAGUGACAGGUGGUGCAUGGUUGUCGUCAGCUCGUGUCGUGAGAUGUUGGGUUAAGUCCCGCAACGAGCGCAACCCUUAAGCUUAGUUGCCAUCAUUAAGUUGGGCACUCUAAGUUGACUGCCGGUGACAAACCGGAGGAAGGUGGGGAUGACGUCAAAUCAUCAUGCCCCUUAUGAUUUGGGCUACACACGUGCUACAAUGGACAAUACAAAGGGCAGCGAAACCGCGAGGUCAAGCAAAUCCCAUAAAGUUGUUCUCAGUUCGGAUUGUAGUCUGCAACUCGACUACAUGAAGCUGGAAUCGCUAGUAAUCGUAGAUCAGCAUGCUACGGUGAAUACGUUCCCGGGUCUUGUACACACCGCCCGUCACACCACGAGAGUUUGUAACACCCGAAGCCGGUGGAGUAACCUUUUAGGAGCUAGCCGUCGAAGGUGGGACAAAUGAUUGGGGUGAAGUCGUAACAAGGUAGCCGUAUCGGAAGGUGCGGCUGGAUCACCU
RNAcentral lists this ribosomal RNA (1540 nucleotides) under Staphylococcus aureus. Its description in RNAcentral is "16S ribosomal RNA". It matches the Rfam family "Bacterial small subunit ribosomal RNA". The record is from RNAcentral. Lineage: Bacteria; Bacillati; Bacillota; Bacilli; Caryophanales; Staphylococcaceae.